This is a non-coding RNA of Pelobates cultripes (western spadefoot toad), 346 nucleotides long. The record is from the annotation of a GenBank genome assembly. Lineage: Eukaryota; Metazoa; Chordata; Amphibia; Anura; Pelobatidae.
CACAGGAAUACCUCCCCCUGCUCAUAUCCGCGGACAUAGGGAUCCAAUAGGGUACUGACCAAUGCACGAUACUGACCACACAGCCCCUUACCAAGUACUUCGAAACCAAUACCUCCCUCAAAGUGUCCCCGCUGAUAACAUGGGAGGCACACAAAUGUGUUGUCAGGGAGCACUAUAUUAACUACUGCACGCAGUGCAAACGUGAGAACACCAGACGCGUCCUGGAACUGACCAAACAGAUAUCCGGCCUAGAAACUACACACAAAAGGGAACGGACAGACGAAGUAUACCUACAACUGACUGAUACAUGGAGACAACUCAGGGACCUACUAUCCCAGAAACUUCU